RNAcentral lists this long non-coding RNA (231 nucleotides) under Hordeum vulgare. Its description in RNAcentral is "long non-coding RNA (HVUL_LNC013586)". Lineage: Eukaryota; Viridiplantae; Streptophyta; Magnoliopsida; Poales; Poaceae. The record is from RNAcentral.
CCCAUAUCGCCCGACGAGGAGCCGGCGGCGGCGCCGCCCGGGGCGGACCCUCCUGAGCCAGACGGCGCCAGCGGGAGCUCCUCCGCGGAUCCGGAGUUAGACGACAGAACCUGCUCCUCGGAGGAGAGCUGCAGCUCCGGAGAGCCGGACCGCGUCACCGGCAGCGCCAUCGGGAUCGCCGCAGCGGCAACCGUCACGGCGCCAGCCGCGGCCGCGGCUGCGGCGGGCGCC